RNAcentral lists this transfer RNA (62 nucleotides) under Cordylochernes scorpioides. RNAcentral describes it as "tRNA-Ser". Lineage: Eukaryota; Metazoa; Arthropoda; Arachnida; Pseudoscorpiones; Chernetidae. The record is from RNAcentral.
UGCAUCGGCCGGGAAUCGAACCCGCCUGGCAGGCGAGCAUUCUACCACUAAACCACCGAUGC